GAACUCUGAAUGGCAUGAGAUUUAUCCGGGAGUGAGGGCUGGGGUGCUAAGGUCCCAGUCCGAGAGGGAAAGAACCCAGACCAACAGCUAAGGUCCCCAAAUCUAUACUAAGUUGAACAAAGGAGGUCUGAUUGCAGAGACAGCCAGGAUGUUAGCUUGGAAGCAGCUAUUCAUUUAAAGAGUGCGUAACAGCUCACUGGUCGAGCGAGGCGGGCAUCGAUAAUAAACGGGCAUCAAGUAUAGUACCGAAGCUUUGGAUUAUAUAUUUAUAUAUACUGGUAGG
Molecule: ribosomal RNA, 283 nt
Filed under: Microvirga sp. 3-52
Lineage: Bacteria; Pseudomonadati; Pseudomonadota; Alphaproteobacteria; Hyphomicrobiales; Methylobacteriaceae
Description: partial 23S ribosomal RNA
Rfam family: Bacterial large subunit ribosomal RNA
Source: RNAcentral